AGUCAGGGAGAAGUCUCUUCGGGGAUGAUUAAACCGGCGCACGGGUGAGUAACACGUGAGUGACCUGCCUUUUAGACUGGAACAACUUACCGAAAGGUGAGCUAAUGCCGGAUGAGUUAUAUAAGUGCAUGUUUAUAUAGGAAAAGUUGGGGAGACCUGACGCUGAAAGAUGGACUCGCGUCCCAUUAGCUAGUUGGUAGGGUAAUGGCCUACCAAGGCGACGAUGGGUAGCCGGCCUGAGAGGGUGGCCGGCCACACUGGGACUGAGACACGGCCCAGACUCCUACGGGAGGCAGCAGUGGGGAAUUUUGCGCAAUGCUCGUAAGAGUGACGCAGCGACGCCGCGUGAAUGACGAAGGCCUUCGGGUCGUAAAGUUCUUUCGACAGGGAAGAAAAUGCCUAUAAGUAACUGUGUAUGUAUUGACGGUACCUGUAUAAGCAGCCCCGGCUAACUCCGUGCCAGCAGCCGCGGUAAUACGGAGGGGGCGAGCGUUGUUCGGAGUGACUGGGCGUAAAGAGCACGUAGGCGGUGUUGUAAGUCAUUAGUCAAAGACUAGAGCUCAACUUUAGUAAGGCUAGUGAUACUAUAAUACUAGAGUAUCAGAGAGGAUUGCAGAAUUCCUGGUGUAGCGGUGAAAUGCGUAGAUAUCAGGAGGAAUACCGUUAGCGAAGGCGGCAAUCUGGCUGGAAACUGACGCUGAGGUGCGAAAGCGUGGGUAGCAAACAGGAUUAGAUACCCUGGUAGUCCACGCUGUAAACGAUGGAUGCUAGGUGUUGGGCUUUUAAGUUCAGUGCCGCAGCAAACGCGAUAAGCAUCCCGCCUGGGGAGUACGUUUG
Molecule: ribosomal RNA, 837 nt
Filed under: uncultured bacterium
Lineage: Bacteria
Description: bacterial SSU rRNA
Rfam family: Bacterial small subunit ribosomal RNA
Source: RNAcentral